UACCCGCCUGGAAUUAAGCAUAUCAAUAAGCGGAGGAAAAGAAACCAACAGGGAUUGCCUCAGUAACGGCGAGUGAAGCGGCAACAGCUCAAAUUUGAAAUCUGGCUCCACAGGGUCCGAGUUGUAAUUUGCAGAGGAUGCUUCGGCGACGGUCCCAGUCCAAGUGCCUUGGAACAGGACGUCAUGGAGGGUGAGAAUCCCGUACGUGACUGGCGGCCGCCGCCGGGUGAAGCUCCUUCGACGAGUCGAGUUGUUUGGGAAUGCAGCUCUAAAUGGGUGGUAAAUUUCAUCUAAAGCUAAACAUUGGCCGGAGACCGAUAGCGCACAAGUAGAGUGAUCGAAAGAUGAAAAGCACUUUGAAAAGAGAGUUAAACAGUACGUGAAAUUGUUGAAAGGGAAGCGUUGGCGACCAGACGUGACGCCUGGGGCUCAACCAUGAUUUUUCACGGUGUAUUCCCCAGAGGUCAGGCCAGCAUCAGUCUUGACGGUCGUACAAAGGCCCUGCGAACGUAGCUCCCUCCGGGGAGUGUUAUAGCGCAGGGAGCCAUGCGACCUGUUGGGACUGAGGAACGCGCUUCGGCCCCGANGCNGGGGUAAUGGUCUUNNANNACCCGUCUUGAAACNCGGACCAAGGNGUNUAACAUCUAUGCGAGNGUUUGGGUGUCAAACCCNCCCNGGGAANGAAAANGAANGGAGGGUGGGAACCCUUCCNGGGNGCNCCNUCGACCNAUCCCAANGUNUUNGGAUGGAUUUGAGUAAAGNNUANCUUUUGGGACCCNAAAAANGNGNACUAUGCCNGNAAAAGGGGGUAANNCAUNCCCUUUGCNUUUUUUGGUAAAUUUUUUUUUUUUUGUAGAAGCCAGAGGAAACUCUGGUGGAGGCUCGCAGCGGUUCUGACGUGCAAAUCGAUCGUCAAAUUUGGGCAUAGGGGCGAAAGACUAAUCGAACCAUCUAGUAGCUGGUUCACGUCGAAGUUUCCCUCAGGAUAGCAGUAACGUGUUCAGUUUUAUGAGGUAAAGCGAAUGAUUAGAGGCCUUGGGGCUGAAACAGCCUUAACCUAUUCUCAAACUUUAAAUAUGUAAGAAGUCCUUGUUACUUUGUUGAACGUGGACAUUGGAAUGCACCGUUACUAGUGGGCCAUUUUUGGUAAGCAGAACUGGCGAUGCGGGAUGAACCGAACGUGAGGUUAAGGUGCCGGAAUUCACGCUCAUCAGAUACCACAAAAGGUGUUAAUUCAUCCAGACAGCCGGACGGUGGCCACGGAAGUUGGAAUCCGCUAAGGAGUGUGUAACAACUCACCGGCCGAAUGAAUUAGCCCUGAAAAUGGAUGGCGCUCAAGCGUGAUACCUAUACCUCACCGCCAGGGUAGACACCAUGCCCUGGCGAGUAGGCGUGCGUGG
This 1400-nucleotide ribosomal RNA is filed under the name Fuscidea multispora. Its description in RNAcentral is "partial large subunit ribosomal RNA". It matches the Rfam family "Eukaryotic large subunit ribosomal RNA", at positions 22 to 1394 of the family's 3401-position model. The record is from RNAcentral. Lineage: Eukaryota; Fungi; Ascomycota; Lecanoromycetes; Umbilicariales; Fuscideaceae.